CAUGAACUCAACUCAGGGACAUCGAGUCUGUCCACUGAUGUUUGUCGUCUCCGCCCUUCCACUUUGGGCUCUUUAUUGAUGCCAAAGCAAACGCUCUCAUGAAGGUAACCUGCCUGCAGCCUCUGAGCGUCCUCGUGAAGCAUCCCAAGUAAAACGUUAGUGUUGAUUCUUCUCACACACCUCCAACCGUCUCGCUCUCAGAGACGUGGAAACUGUCUCUCACUGUUUGCUCUGAUGAUUAAUCAGAAAUUAUCCUUUUGGAGACACGUCCACAGGCUGUGAGCUUAGAGAAUAAGAGGGAGGAGAAGAUCCACCUGGCUGUCAGACUACAGGAGGAACCGUGUUUAUUAUUUGUAGAGGUUUCAUUAGUCCGGAAUCAUGCGUCCAGCUGUGCUAACCGCUGUCCUGCUCUCGGUGCUCUUCAUCAACGCCGUGACGUCACUGAACCUCGGCAAUCUGCCGCUGCGUGAAGAGCGAGCUCUCUUCGAUGCGCCACCAGAUGUUGCGGUUCCGGUGGCUCCCGCUCCACUGAACAUGCGGGCUUCCCGAGCCGCCGACCCGAACCAGAGAAACAUUCACAAAGUUGGAGAUGAUUCUCAAUUACUCUGCAAAGGAACAGUUUGCAAUGGGUAAUGAUAAUUAGACGGGGGGGGGGGGGCUUUGUUUGAUCAUCAUCUGCUGAUGUGUUCCUUCUCUCUGUAAAGCUGCUCCGUGUUUCUAUAACCCGCCAACACGAGCUCCAAUAAACGCUUCAGCAUUCAAGCUCCUGGUGUCACUUUGUUGGGCAAUGAGGGGUCGAUGUUCACGCUGUAGAUUAAAGCACUAGAUGAUCCGUAGAUUUCGAGCCCGACACACGCGGCUCAGCGGGGGUCCCAUCGGGUCGAGUUCAGCACCACGGACAGCGACUACGGGACCUCAUUCAUUCCUCCUGUAGGACCUGAAUGGCUUUGAUGGAACCAUUUGUAAAGUGUCAUAUCCCAAUCGUUGAACUGUCUUUAAACCAGAUCCCCAAAUGGUAACACUGGUUUAAAGACAGCUCAAAGAUUGGGAUAUGACACUUUACAAAUAGGCGAUUAAUGUCUUUAAGGCUCUACGCCCUUUUACCAUAACAUUUUAAAUCGAGGCACAUUUCAUUUUGAAAUGCGGUCCACAUGACCGCAGUGGAGAGGGGUUUCACGGGCGCGGAACGUCGCGCAACCCCCCUUUGACCGGACCAACUCUAUAACACUCUAUAACAAGAGCUAAUUCAAUCCAUGUCCAGUCGUCAAGUCUGAUAUGUAGAGUGAAC
This is a long non-coding RNA of Gasterosteus aculeatus aculeatus (three-spined stickleback), 1288 nucleotides long. The record is from Ensembl. Lineage: Eukaryota; Metazoa; Chordata; Actinopteri; Perciformes; Gasterosteidae.